This 764-nucleotide ribosomal RNA is filed under the name uncultured bacterium. Its description in RNAcentral is "bacterial SSU rRNA". It matches the Rfam family "Bacterial small subunit ribosomal RNA", at positions 565 to 1327 of the family's 1533-position model. The record is from RNAcentral.
GCGAGUGUAGGUGGCUCAUUAAGUCACAUGUGAAAUCCCCGGGCUUAACCUGGGAACUGCAUGUGAUACUGGUGGUGCUAGAAUAUGUGAGAGGGAAGUAGAAUUCCAGGUGUAGCGGUGAAAUGCGUAGAGAUCUGGAGGAAUACCGAUGGCGAAGGCAGCUUCCUGGCAUAAUAUUGACACUGAGAUUCGAAAGCGUGGGUAGCAAACAGGAUUAGAUACCCUGGUAGUCCACGCCGUAAACGAUGUCUACUAGCCGUUGGGGUCCUUGAGACUUUAGUGGCGCAGUUAACGCGAUAAGUAGACCGCCUGGGGAGUACGGCCGCAAGGUUAAAACUCAAAUGAAUUGACGGGGGCCCGCACAAGCGGUGGAGCAUGUGGUUUAAUUCGAUGCAACGCGAAGAACCUUACCUGGUCUUGACAUAGUGAGAAUCCUGCAGAGAUGCGGGAGUGCCUUCGGGAACUCACAUACAGGUGCUGCAUGGCUGUCGUCAGCUCGUGUCGUGAGAUGUUGGGUUAAGUCCCGCAACGAGCGCAACCCUUUUCCUUAUUUGCCAGCGGGUUAAGCCGGGAACUUUAAGGAUACUGCCAGUGACAAACUGGAGGAAGGCGGGGACGACGUCAAGUCAUCAUGGCCCUUACGACCAGGGCUACACACGUGCUACAAUGGUAGGUACAGAGGGUUGCUACACAGCGAUGUGAUGCUAAUCUCAAAAAGCCUAUCGUAGUCCGGAUUGGAGUCUGCAACUCGACUCCAUGAAGUC